AUCACCCAUGACAUGAAGAUUAGAUUGUAAAAGAAAUUUGGCAUUGAAAUGUGUUUGGGUUUGGGUUUUUGAAAAAGGGGAGGAGGAAUAAGAUGAAAUGGCUCAAGGAUAAGUCUUGUCUCAAUAUCCUCUAUCACUGAAAAACCAAUGAUCGAUGACUUCAAGAUGUAGAGGGAGAGAAGCUUAACAUCAUUUUGUUAAAUCAAUAUAAUAUUGUAUUUGAUCAACGUAUCAUUGGUUUCUCUUCUGGGAAAAAAAAACCUGCAUUCUUGCUCAUUCAUCUGAUAUUUUUUCUGGAAUCUGGGUUUGUGUACUUUUCAUUUUUGAUCGUCAAAGUUCUUAUCUUUUUGAAAUGCUAUUACACAAUAGUUGCUUUAAAACUAAAAUUUUAGAGAAUAUUACAGAGGAUCCUGAUCAAGAUAGGUAUAUGUGUAUGUAGUGAGCUGGUACUGCACUUUUGAACUGCUAAAAUCAAUUGUAAAAUUGGGAUUUGUUACAGGAGAUUCGGGCAAGAGAUGAACCAUACUUCAUGAAUCUAGCUAUCUAAAGAAUCGAUCUCAUUAUUGAAUCAUUAUUUUCGGGUUAGAUAUUGAAUGCAGGAUUAGUCUCCUCAAAUGCAUGCAUGCCAUCCUUAACUUGUUUUAAACGUCUUCAAGGUGUGAGACGCUUGUCGUGUCUGUGGCCAUAACAUGACAAAAUGUGAGAAGGCUGGGAAACUGGUUGUGAACAAAGACUAGGAGAGUGUACGUGGAAAAAUGCAGGCUGUGAAGGACAAGCUGCAAGACAUGAACGCUAUGCGCAAGGCCAAGGCCGCAGUAAAGGAAGAAGAGAUGGCUGAAAAAGAUUUAGCAAAAGCCAAAAUGGAGGUUGCACAUAAGGUAAGACUGGCGAAAGAGGCUGAAGCCGCGAUGGAGUUGCAUGCAGUAGCCAGGGCUGGGGAGAAGGCAGAAAGGGAUCGGAGGUAUCCAAGCAUGCCCCCAAGAAUCCAAAUGCCAGCGCCGGUGUCGACUCGACGGACAAGGGUGCUAUGGCAUUUGGAAAUAGUUGCCCUAUUGAUGGAGCUUGCGAGCCUCCUCAUACUAGUGGAUAAAGAGAUAUAUAUAUAUAUACACACACACAAAAAUAGCUCAUUUUUUGUACCAUUGAUCCAAACAUUUCCCGAUUAAUUAUAAAUUAAGUUGUAUUAAACCAACUUUAGACACGCUGUGGAAGGUGAAUGUAAUUUAUUCUUGACUCCUUAUUGAUUUUUUUUUCUUUUAAUAAUAAUUUUUUUAAAAAAAAAAAAAGCUAGGCCAUGACCAUUGAAUGGUCACAU
Juglans microcarpa x Juglans regia is the source of this 1315-nucleotide RNA transcript. RefSeq lists it as uncharacterized. The transcript is spliced from 3 exons. The record is from RefSeq and is a predicted model, not a curated record. Lineage: Eukaryota; Viridiplantae; Streptophyta; Magnoliopsida; Fagales; Juglandaceae.